This 2442-nucleotide long non-coding RNA is filed under the name Ananas comosus (pineapple). RNAcentral's name for it is "long non-coding RNA (ACOM_LNC037595)". The record is from RNAcentral. Lineage: Eukaryota; Viridiplantae; Streptophyta; Magnoliopsida; Poales; Bromeliaceae.
GGCGUCCCGGUGUGGUUUUCGGAACUUCCGGUGAGUUACGGUAAUCGGUAUUAGGAGACCGAUCUUCUUGAAAUUGUUUGUGGGGUUGUGGAUACUGUGAUUAUUAGUUGUGGGUUAGAUACUAACCCGGUGGACCCUCUAUAGGUCCUGUCGACAUUCUUUUACAGUCAGGAGACAGACGCGACAUCCGUACAGGUGGGUACUUCGACCCGACGUCGGUACAGUGGUGCACGCUUGGUGACGGUUUCUUACCCUUACUCUUUUGUUUUUACUAUCGCAUAGUAUAUUGAGCCUUGCACCCUUGUUUAUUCGUUAUACUCUACUCGUUGUUUGCAUGCUUAGUAUCCUAAGUAGGAGUAGAGUAGUUCUAUCUACAUGCGUAUCUGUUGACCUAGUUGGUCUGUUGUUGCAUUCUGUAUCUGUUGACCUAGUUGGUCUGUUGUUGCAUUCUGUAUCUGUUGACCUAGUUGGUCUGUUGUUGCAUUCUGUAUCUGUUGACCUAGUUGGUCUGUUGUUGCAUUCUGUAUCUGUUGACCUAGUUGGUCUGUUGUUGCAUUCUGUAUCUGUUGACCUAGUUGGUCUGUUGUUGCAUUCUGUAUCUGUUGACCUAGUUGGUCUGUUGUUGCAUUCUGUAUCUGUUGACCUAGUUGGUCUGUUGUUGCAUUCUGUAUCUGUUGACCUAGUUGGUCUGUUGUUGCAUUCUGUAUCUGUUGACCUAGUUGGUCUGUUGUUGCAUUCUGUAUCUGUUGACCUAGUUGGUCUGUUGUUGCAUUCUGUAUCUGUUGACCUAGUUGGUCUGUUGUUGCAUUCUGUAUCUGUUGACCUAGUUGGUCUGUUGUUGCAUUCUGUAUCUGUUGACCUAGUUGGUCUGUUGUUGCAUUCUGUAUCUGUUGACCUAGUUGGUCUGUUGUUGCAUUCUGUAUCUGUUGACCUAGUUGGUCUGUUGUUGCAUUCAGUAUCUGUUGACCUAGUUGGUUGGUUGUGCAUUCCGCAUCUGUUGACCUGGUUGGUCAGUUCUCGUACUUUGUAUCAGUGACCUUGCUGGUCGGUUGGACUCUGUGGACCUUGGGUCCAGGUAACACAUUGACUCUCUCGUCAUGUGUUUCGAUCUGGUUGAUCGAGGUUCGGCGUUGUACGUCCUUGUUUCUGGCUUCGGCCUAGGCACCGGUUUCAGCCGAUUUUUGUAUUGAGCAUACCAUCAUGACUUAGUCACAGCACUUGGGGGUAUUCACGACACCGGAUCGGUUUGGCCACCGAUCGGAGGUGUACUUAUCCGGAUGGGUCGUCCUAUGGGGCGGGUGAAUCAGGUCGGUGCAGGUUAGUGACAGGCAGCGCUUGAGGUCUGCGGACCAAUAUAGCAGGUACCAGAUUGGGUAUAUUUGGACUUUUUGUCCGGUUGACGCAUAUAACUAUAGUAGCGGUUGUUGCUUGUAUACCUUCAGUUCUUUCAUUACAUUGUCUUGCUACUAUAGUCUUGUUACAUGUAUACAUUCAGUUGUCCAUUACAGUAGCGGUAGUUGUACUUCUUUUAUAUAUAUGUCUCUUUCAUUUAUUAUUAUUGCUACUGUAUUUCUACUGACCCGUACUGUUGUUUAGCUCUUCCUGAUCCGGUGAGUACUCCUCGCCUUCAUCGGCUUGCGGUACCCACUGGGAGGGGAGACAUGUUUACAUGUUCUCACCUCCCCCACCAUUUUUCAGGUAUUGCAGGCGAUGAGUUUUGGGACGAGACGUGAGGUACGUUCGUAGCGGUCGAUAGAGCUUCCGACCCAGGUUAUCGAUUUAGUUUUUAUCCUUACUAUUCUGUUGUUAUAGCCUAGUUAGUUUAUAUGGUUCAGUUAGAUGAUCAUACUUGAUGUUUGAAUGUUGUGAGCUGGUUGAAUUUGUGGAUUUGUGGAAUUGUGGAUUUGGUUUAUGAAUCUUCAGUUUUGGGAUGUUUGUAUACUUUGUGGUUCUCGGAUUCGUAUUUAUGGAUUUACGCAUUGUGGAUUUCUACCCCUCGAGGUAACUGGUUUUCAAAAUAGAGUUUCCGUGUGGGAAACAGUUUUAAAAAGGUUUUCGAAUGGUUUUUAUGAAUGAUUGAAUUAGAGUUUAAAAACAAAAGCUUCCGUGUGGGGAGCACUUUUAAAUAGGAUGUUUGUUGUAUUGUGCAUUGCAUCAUCCAGCGCCUAAGGAGUGCUUAGAGGCAUGCAUCAUUCUAAGGAUUGUUAGCUGUAUGAAAAUGCAUAUCAUGCUUUGGUUGUUGAUUGGUAAAUGUAGAUUGUGGUUGUGAUCCUGUUGUAUCGUUGGUACGCCGUGCAAAUACAAAGGAGACUCUGUCCGCGUGGACAGAGGAACUUUGUAUUUGUGGCGGGUCUGUACGCCGCGUGGGCCAGGUUGAAAAAAAAAAAAUGGCACGUUUUCCGCAACUCUGUUUUAAAAAGGCUUUUAAAAUCGGCCCCGGGA